GGUGAUCGUGCUUAAUUGGUAAAGCACCUGUCUCAUACGCAGGGCGAUGUACGUUCGAAUCGUACGAUCACCACCA
RNAcentral lists this transfer RNA (76 nucleotides) under Gammaproteobacteria bacterium. RNAcentral's name for it is "tRNA-Met". It matches the Rfam family "tRNA". From Rfam's summary of the family: Transfer RNA (tRNA) molecules are approximately 80 nucleotides in length. Their secondary structure includes four short double-helical elements and three loops (D, anti-codon, and T loops). The record is from RNAcentral. Lineage: Bacteria; Pseudomonadati; Pseudomonadota; Gammaproteobacteria.